AGUGAACGCUGGCGGUAGGCCUAACACAUGCAAGUCGAACGGCAGCACAGUAAGAGCUUGCUCUUACGGGUGGCGAGUGGCGGACGGGUGAGGAAUACAUCGGAAUCUACUUUUUCGUGGGGGAUAACGUAGGGAAACUUACGCUAAUACCGCAUACGACCUACGGGUGAAAGCAGGGGAUCUUCGGACCUUGCGCGUUUGAAUGAGCCGAUGUCGGAUUAGCUAGUUGGCGGGGUAAAGGCCCACCAAGGCGACGAUCCGUAGCUGGUCUGUGAGGGUGAUCAGCCACACUGGAACUGGGACACGGUCCAGACUCCUACGGGAGGCAGCAGUGGGGAAUAUUGGACAAUGGGCGCAAGCCUGAUCCAGCCAUACCACGUGGGUGAAGAAGGCCUUCGGGUUGUAAAGCCCUUUUGUUGGGAAAGAAAAGCAGCAGGUUAAUACCCCGCUGUUCUGACGGUACCCAAAGAAUAAGCACCGGCUAACUUCGUG
Molecule: ribosomal RNA, 492 nt
Filed under: uncultured bacterium
Lineage: Bacteria
Description: partial 16S ribosomal RNA
Rfam family: Bacterial small subunit ribosomal RNA
Source: RNAcentral